This 403-nucleotide ribosomal RNA is filed under the name uncultured bacterium. Its description in RNAcentral is "bacterial SSU rRNA". It matches the Rfam family "Bacterial small subunit ribosomal RNA", at positions 355 to 775 of the family's 1533-position model. The record is from RNAcentral.
UGGGGAAUAUUGGACAAUGGGGGCAACCCUGAUCCAGCAAUGCCGCGUGAGUGAUGAAGGCCUUAGGGUUGUAAAGCUCUUUUACCCACGACGAUGAUGACGGUAGUGGGAGAAUAAGCCCCGGCUAACUUCGUGCCAGCAGCCGCGGUAAUACGAAGGGGGCUAGCGUUGUUCGGAGUUACUGGGCGUAAAGGGCGCGUAGGCGGCGCAUCAAGUCAGGCGUGAAAGCCCUGGGCUCAACCCGGGAAUUGCGCUUGAGACUGGUGUGCUUGAGUACGGGAGAGGAUAGUGGAAUUCCCAGUGUAGAGGUGAAAUUCGUAGAUAUUGGGAAGAACACCGGUGGCGAAGGCGGCUAUCUGGACCGUAACUGACGCUGAGGCGCGAAAGCGUGGGGAGCAAACAG